CCUACGGGGGGCAGCAGUGGGGGAUAUUGCACAAUGGGGGAAACCCUGAUGCAGCGACGCCGCGUGGGUGAAGAAGCGCCUCGGCGCGUAAAGCCCUGUCAGCAGGGAAGAAAAUGACGGUACCUGAAGAAGAAGCCCCGGCUAACUACGUGCCAGCAGCCGCGGUAAUACGUAGGGGGCAAGCGUUAUCCGGAUUUACUGGGUGUAAAGGGGGCGCAGACGGCGAUGCAAGCCAGGAGUGAAAGCCCGGGGCCCAACCCCGGGACUGCUCUUGGAACUGCGUGGCUAGAGUGCAGGAGGGGCAGGCGGAAUUCAUGGUGUAGCGGUGAAAUGCGUAGAUAUCAGGAGGAACAGCGGUGGCGAAGGCGGCCUGCUGGACUGCAACUGACGUUGAGGCCCGAAAGCGUGGGGAGCAAACAGGAUUAGAUACCCCAGUAGUC
Molecule: ribosomal RNA, 440 nt
Filed under: uncultured bacterium
Lineage: Bacteria
Description: partial 16S ribosomal RNA
Rfam family: Bacterial small subunit ribosomal RNA
Source: RNAcentral